RNAcentral lists this ribosomal RNA (693 nucleotides) under Triticum aestivum (bread wheat). RNAcentral describes it as "partial small subunit ribosomal RNA". Lineage: Eukaryota; Viridiplantae; Streptophyta; Magnoliopsida; Poales; Poaceae. The record is from RNAcentral.
AUGCAAGACUACUUCGCGGAGAAUCCAACAUAUCCACCGCACCUCUUCCGCAGAAGGUACCGAAUGUGCCGAUCCCUCUUUGUGAAAAUUGUUCAAGCUUGCGAGGUCAAUUGUCGGUAUUUUACUCAAAGAAGAAAUGUCCCAGGCUUGAAGGGAUUUAGCGCAUAUCAAAAAAUCUCGGCAGUUAUGCGGGUAAUUGCAUACGGCAUUCCGGCUGACUAUGCCGAUGAGUACCUUCGCAUUGGUGAAUAUACUACAAUUGAGUCAGUGUGUAGGUUUUCUCAAGUGAUCAUCCGUGUCUUUGAUCCUGAAUAUCUUCGGGCACCCAACGAGGAAGACACAAAAAAACUGAUGGCAUCUAAUGAUAGAAAAGGUUGGCCUGACAUGCUAGGAAGUAUAGAUUGUAUGCAUUGGACUUGGAAAAAUUGCCCAAAGGCAUGGCAGGGAAUGUAUUGUGGCAAGUUUCGUAUCAAUGGGCAUGAAUACACAAAGGGGUACUAUCUUACAGAUGGUAUAUACCCUCCUUGGUGCAUAUUUGUCAAGAGCAUCAAAGACCCCCAAACUAGGAAACAAUGUGAAUUCGCAAAGGUACAAGAGGCAGCCCGAAAAGAUAUUGAGGAGCAUUCGGGGUUUUGCAAUCUAGGUUUGCCAUUGUUCGUGGUCCUGCUCGUUUUUGGGACAAGCGGUCCUUGA